GCGGCAAGAGCUCAGAUUUGAAAUCGUGCUUUGCGGCACGAGUUGUAGAUUGCAGGUUGGAGUCUGUGUGGAAGGCGGUGUCCAAGUCCCUUGGAACAGGGCGCCCAGGAGGGUGAGAGCCCCGUGGGAUGCCGGCGGAAGCAGUGAGGCCCUUCUGACGAGUCGAGUUGUUUGGGAAUGCAGCUCCAAGCGGGUGGUAAAUUCCAUCUAAGGCUAAAUACUGGCGAGAGACCGAUAGCGAACAAGUACUGUGAAGGAAAGAUGAAAAGCACUUUGAAAAGAGAGUGAAACAGCACGUGAAAUUGUUGAAAGGGAAGGGUAUUGCGCCCGACAUGGGGAUUGCGCACCGCUGCCUCUCGUGGGCGGCGCUCUGGGCUUUCCCUGGGCCAGCAUCGGUUCUUGCUGCAGGAGAAGGGGUUCUGGAACGUGGCUCUUCGGAGUGUUAUAGCCAGGGCCAGAUGCUGCGUGCGGGGACCGAGGACUGCGGCC
This 489-nucleotide ribosomal RNA is filed under the name Pichia sp. Its description in RNAcentral is "partial large subunit ribosomal RNA". It matches the Rfam family "Eukaryotic large subunit ribosomal RNA", at positions 98 to 600 of the family's 3401-position model. Lineage: Eukaryota; Fungi; Ascomycota; Pichiomycetes; Pichiales; Pichiaceae. The record is from RNAcentral.